RNAcentral lists this ribosomal RNA (253 nucleotides) under uncultured bacterium. RNAcentral describes it as "partial 16S ribosomal RNA". It matches the Rfam family "Bacterial small subunit ribosomal RNA", at positions 524 to 776 of the family's 1533-position model. The record is from RNAcentral.
UACGGAGGGGGCUAGCGUUAUUCGGAAUUAUUGGGCGUAAAGGGCGCGUAGGCGGCCAUGUAAGUCAAAGGUGAAAUCCCCGGGCUCAACCUGGGAACUGCCUUCGAUACUGCGUGGCUUGAGUCCGAGAGGGGGAAGUGGAAUUCCUGGUGUAGCGGUGAAAUGCGUAGAUAUCAGGAGGAACACCGGUGGCGAAGGCGACUUCCUGGAUCGGUACUGACGCUGAGGCGCGAAAGCGUGGGGAGCAAACAGG